GACGAGCGCUGGCGGCGUGCUUAACACAUGCAAGUCGAACGGUGAAGCGCCUUCCUUUUUGGUGGGUGUGGAUGAGUGGCGAACGGGUGAGUAACACGUGAGUAACCUGCCCCCUUCUUCUGGAUAACCGCAUGAAAGUGUGGCUAAUACGGGAUAUUCUGGGUCUGUCGCAUGAUGGGUCUGGGAAAGAUAUUGUUUCGGUGGGGGAUGGGCUCGCGGCCUAUCAGCUUGUUGGUGGGGUGAUGGCCUACCAAGGCGGUGACGGGUAGCCGGCCUGAGAGGGUGGACGGUCACACUGGGACUGAGACACGGCCCAGACUCCUACGGGAGGCAGCAGUGGGGAAUAUUGCACAAUGGGCGCAAGCCUGAUGCAGCGACGCCGCGUGAGGGAUGGAGGCCUUCGGGUUGUGAACCUCUUUCGCCAGUGAAGCAGGCCUGCCUCGUUUGUGGGUGGGUUGACGGUAGCUGGAUAAGAAGCGCCGGCUAACUACGUG
Molecule: ribosomal RNA, 494 nt
Filed under: uncultured bacterium
Lineage: Bacteria
Description: partial 16S ribosomal RNA
Rfam family: Bacterial small subunit ribosomal RNA
Source: RNAcentral